GUGGUUUGUCGCGUUGUUCGUGAAAUCUCACGGCUUAACUGUGAGCGUGCGGGCGAUACGGGCAGACUUGAGUACUGCAGGGGAGACUGGAAUUCCUGGUGUAGCGGUGGAAUGCGCAGAUAUCAGGAGGAACACCGGUGGCGAAGGCGGGUCUCUGGGCAGUAACUGACGCUGAGGAGCGAAAGCGUGGGGAGCGAACAGGAUUAGAUACCCUGGUAGUCCACGCCGUAAACGGUGGGUACUAGGUGUGGGUUUCCUUCCUUGGGAUCCGUGCCGUAGCUAACGCAUUAAGUACCCCGCCUGGGGAGUACGGCCGCAAGGCUAAAACUCAAAGAAAUUGACGGGGGCCCGCACAAGCGGCGGAGCAUGUGGAUUAAUUCGAUGCAACGCGAAGAACCUUACCUGGGUUUGACAUGCACAGGACGCCGGCAGAGAUGUCGGUUCCCUUGUGGCCUGUGUGCAGGUGGUGCAUGGCUGUCGUCAGCUCGUGUCGUGAGAUGUUGGGUUAAGUCCCGCAACGAGCGCAACCCUUGUCUCAUGUUGCCAGCGGGUAAUGCCGGGGACUCGUGAGAGACUGCCGGGGUCAACUCGGAGGAAGGUGGGGAUGACGUCAAGUCAUCAUGCCCCUUAUGUCCAGGGCUUCACACAUGCUACAAUGGCCGGUACAAAGGGCUGCGAUGCCGCGAGGUUAAGCGAAUCCUUUUAAAGCCGGUCUCAGUUCGGAUCGGGGUCUGCAACUCGACCCCGUGAAGUCGGAGUCGC
This 762-nucleotide ribosomal RNA is filed under the name uncultured bacterium. RNAcentral describes it as "bacterial SSU rRNA". It matches the Rfam family "Bacterial small subunit ribosomal RNA", at positions 575 to 1335 of the family's 1533-position model. The record is from RNAcentral.